GCAGUCGAACGAAACUUUCUUACACCGAAUGCUUGCAUUCAUCGUAAGAAGUUGAGUGGCGGACGGGUGAGUAACACGUGGGUAACCUGCCUAAAAGAAGGGGAUAACACUUGGAAACAGGUGCUAAUACCGUAUAUCUCUAAGGAUCGCAUGAUCCUUAGAUGAAAGAUGGUUCUGCUAUCGCUUUUAGAUGGACCCGCGGCGUAUUAACUAGUUGGUGGGGUAACGGCCUACCAAGGUGAUGAUACGUAGCCGAACUGAGAGGUUGAUCGGCCACAUUGGGACUGAGACACGGCCCAAACUCCUACGGGAGGCAGCAGUAGGGAAUCUUCCACAAUGGACGCAAGUCUGAUGGAGCAACGCCGCGUGAGUGAAGAAGGUCUUCGGAUCGUAAAACUCUGUUGUUAGAGAAGAACACGAGUGAGAGUAACUGUUCAUUCGAUGACGGUAUCUAACCAGCAAGUCACGGCUAACUACGUGCCAGCAGCCGCGGUAAUACGUAGGUGGCAAGCGUUGUCCGGAUUUAUUGGGCGUAAAGGGAACGCAGGCGGUCUUUUAAGUCUGAUGUGAAAGCCUUCGGCUUAACCGGAGUAGUGCAUUGGAAACUGGAAGACUUGAGUGCAGAAGAGGAGAGUGGAACUCCAUGUGUAGCGGUGAAAUGCGUA
RNAcentral lists this ribosomal RNA (665 nucleotides) under Ligilactobacillus salivarius. RNAcentral's name for it is "bacterial SSU rRNA". It matches the Rfam family "Bacterial small subunit ribosomal RNA", at positions 57 to 692 of the family's 1533-position model. Lineage: Bacteria; Bacillati; Bacillota; Bacilli; Lactobacillales; Lactobacillaceae. The record is from RNAcentral.